RNAcentral lists this ribosomal RNA (253 nucleotides) under uncultured bacterium. Its description in RNAcentral is "partial 16S ribosomal RNA". It matches the Rfam family "Bacterial small subunit ribosomal RNA", at positions 524 to 776 of the family's 1533-position model. The record is from RNAcentral.
AACGUAGGACGCGAGCGUUAUCCGGAAUCAUUGGGCGUAAAGCGCACGUAGGCGGCUUGAUAAGUCAGGGGUGAAAUCCCGGAGCUCAACUUCGGAAUUGCCUUUGAUACUGUCUGUCUUGAGUCCGGGAGAGGUGAGUGGAAUUCCUAGUGUAGAGGUGAAAUUCGUAGAUAUUCGGAAGAACACCAGUGGCGAAGGCGACUCGCUGGACAAGUAUUGACGCUGAGGUGCGAAAGCGUGGGGAGCAAACAGG